This 609-nucleotide ribosomal RNA is filed under the name Bacillus sp. (in: firmicutes). RNAcentral describes it as "bacterial SSU rRNA". It matches the Rfam family "Bacterial small subunit ribosomal RNA", at positions 69 to 662 of the family's 1533-position model. The record is from RNAcentral. Lineage: Bacteria; Bacillati; Bacillota; Bacilli; Caryophanales; Bacillaceae.
AUCUUCAUUAGCUUGCUUUUGAAGAUCAGCGGCGGACGGGUGAGUAACACGUGGGCAACCUGCCUGUAAGACUGGGAUAACUUCGGGAAACCGGAGCUAAUACCGGAUAAUCCUUUCCCUCACAUGAGGGAAAGCUGAAAGACGGUUUCGGCUGUCACUUACAGAUGGGCCCGCGGCGCAUUAGCUAGUUGGUGAGGUAACGGCUCACCAAGGCAACGAUGCGUAGCCGACCUGAGAGGGUGAUCGGCCACACUGGGACUGAGACACGGCCCAGACUCCUACGGGAGGCAGCAGUAGGGAAUCUUCCGCAAUGGACGAAAGUCUGACGGAGCAACGCCGCGUGAACGAUGAAGGCUUUCGGGUCGUAAAGUUCUGUUGUUAGGGAAGAACAAGUACCGGAGUAACUGCCGGUACCUUGACGGUACCUAACCAGAAAGCCACGGCUAACUACGUGCCAGCAGCCGCGGUAAUACGUAGGUGGCAAGCGUUGUCCGGAAUUAUUGGGCGUAAAGCGCGCGCAGGCGGUUCCUUAAGUCUGAUGUGAAAGCCCCCGGCUCAACCGGGGAGGGUCAUUGGAAACUGGGGAACUUGAGUGCAGAAGAGGAGAGC